GAAACAUUCACAGUCAAACAGGAAGAUCUGCAGGAACAAACAGAGAGAAUGAAAAAACCCAAACAAAAGCCUUGCCAUAAUUGUGGGGCUUUAAAUGUUUCAAACUGCAAAACGUGCAGAAAUUGUUUUGCUGCCAUUGCUUUAAAAGCAAGCAUCAUGGCAAAACAAAAAAACAUUGAGGAGUCGUCAUGGGCAGCAAACAACAAAAAACACAGGAAUGCUGCCCGUGUUGUAGAUUCUGCCCGCACUGCUAAUGCCAAGUACAUUCCAACCAGAAAACCUUUCCAUAUGACAGGAUUGUGAAAAGGAGGAUGUCCAAAGAAGGUGUUGAAGAGGCCAGAGUCAGAUGGAAGCCGUGUUCUGGAUGUGGGAUGAAAUGGAAAGACUCCUGGGAGCCAUUAAAUCACUUUUUGUAAAAUACAGUGGGUUAUAAAAAAGGAAUGCUUUUAAAAAAAGAUUUGUCUACUGCUGUUGUAGCUAUUUUCAGUGCAGGUCUAGUUUUUGUUUGUUGUUUUAAAUCUACUUUAACUCAGCACAUGUUUAAACCCACGUUUUGAAAUUGUAUUUUGUUUUAUUUUUUGAAUUGUAUUAUAAUAAAUUUUUCUGUUAACCUAGAGUAAAGCCUUCCACGCACAAAGAUAACCACUUACAGUAUUUUCAUCUAUGUCAUAUUUGCAGCCAGUAAAGACACUAAAUCCCUCGGCAAAA
Non-coding RNA from Danio rerio (zebrafish), 708 nucleotides. The record is from RefSeq and is a predicted model, not a curated record. Lineage: Eukaryota; Metazoa; Chordata; Actinopteri; Cypriniformes; Danionidae.